This is a microRNA precursor of Arabidopsis thaliana (thale cress), 221 nucleotides long. It matches the Rfam family "MIR854 microRNA precursor family". NCBI's taxonomy places the organism in Eukaryota, Viridiplantae, Streptophyta, Magnoliopsida, Brassicales, Brassicaceae. The record is from Rfam.
UGGAUGAAGAUAGAGCAGUGGAGUUCGACACUAGCAUGUAUCACUUUGGUGAACAUGUACCUCCAGCGAGGCAGAGCAAGAGCUUGACUGAAGCUUAUAAGAACAACAGUAAAUUGCAGAGGUGGUGCAAGAAGCAGGACAAGCUGCUCGCCAAGUGUUUCAAGGCUAUCAAGCUUCUGACAGAUAAGUUGAGUUGUUCCUCCUCCACCACUGCUAUUCCA